CCUGCGGAAGGAUCAUUGUCGAAAUCGUACGAAAGAAUGAACCGUGAACCGUAUUUGCGUAAAUAGUAUCGAGCACGCUUGCAACUCACACUCGCGCGUCUCGAGUAGUCUUCGUGGCGGCCCUUUUCGAAAGGGCGUCUGCCGCGUCGACGACUUAACAAUCUCAGCACGGAUCGUGCCAAGGUGCAGCUGUAUAAGCCGGACUCGCCGUUCCGCGCCCCCGGUCCCCAUUUGACCCGGUGAGGUGCGGCGAGAUCCUCGCUCUAUGAGUUUAAUGACUCUCGGCAACGGAUAUCUCGGCUCUUGCAUCGAUGAAGAACGUAGCGAAAUGCGAUACUUGGUGUGAAUUGCAGAAUCCCGCGAACCAUCAAUUCUUUGAACGCAAGUUGCGCCCGAAGCCAUUCGGCCGAGGGCACGCCUGCCUGGGCGUCGUUAAUCCCCUUGCCCCUGGGCAGCCGCACGUGCAUUGUUGCGGAUCUGAACGGGCGCAGAAGAUGGCCUCCCGCCGGGUCGGCGUGCGCGUCACGUAGAGGGGCGGUUGGUCGAAAAUCGAGCAUUGCUUCGUCGUGCACCACGGCGUUCGGUGGAUCGAACGUGAUUGGCUGUGCCGUGGUCGUGCCGUUCCGUGUGCUCCUGGCUACGAUGAUUCCCGAGUGCGAUCCCAGGUCAGGCGGGGCUACCCGCUGAGUUUAAGCAUAUCAAUAAGCGGAGGAGAAGAAACUAACGAGGAUUCCCUAAGUAGCGGCGAGCGAACCGGGAGGAGCCCAGCUUGAGAAUCGUUCGCCUUCGGCGGCCGAAUUGUAGUCUGGAGAAGCGUCCUCAGUGACGGACCGGGCCCAAGUUCACUGGAAGGUGGCGCCGGAGAGGGUGAGAGCCCCGUCGUGCCUGGACCUUGUCGCA
RNAcentral lists this ribosomal RNA (900 nucleotides) under Centradenia inaequilateralis. Its description in RNAcentral is "eukaryotic LSU rRNA". The stretch from base 657 to 900 matches the Rfam family "Eukaryotic large subunit ribosomal RNA", at positions 1 to 243 of the family's 3401-position model. Lineage: Eukaryota; Viridiplantae; Streptophyta; Magnoliopsida; Myrtales; Melastomataceae. The record is from RNAcentral.